This 208-nucleotide unclassified non-coding RNA is filed under the name Hevea brasiliensis (rubber tree). The record is from RNAcentral. Lineage: Eukaryota; Viridiplantae; Streptophyta; Magnoliopsida; Malpighiales; Euphorbiaceae.
CCUCAAUCUAUCUUUUUCAAUAAUAGUAUUAUUCGAUUUCGUCUUUGCCUCGCUUUCUUACACUGGUCUCUUCUUCUUUUUCAAACCCCAUCUGCUUACUCACCUUUCUUUAUUUUCAACAUUCUCUCUAUCCCCUCUUUCUCUGUGUCUCUGCUCUGGUUUUGAUCUGCGCAUCCCUGAAAGGGCAAGCCAGAAAUGAAGAAGUUUG